AGAUUGAACGCUGGCGGCAGGCCUAACACAUGCAAGUCGAGCGGUAGAGAGGUGCUUGCACCUCUUGAGAGCGGCGGACGGGUGAGUAAUGCCUAGGAAUCUGCCUAGUGGUGGGGGAUAACGUUCGGAAACGGACGCUAAUACCGCAUACGUCCUACGGGAGAAAGCGGGGGACCUUCGGGCCUCGCGCCAUUAGAUGAGCCUAGGUCGGAUUAGCUAGUGGUGAGGUAAUGGCUCACCAAGGCGACGAUCCGUAACUGGUCUGAGAGGAUGAUCAGUCACACUGGAACUGAGACACGGUCCAGACUACCGUACGGGAGGCAGCAGUGGGGAAUAGUUGGAACAAUGGGACGAAAGGCCUGGAU
RNAcentral lists this ribosomal RNA (365 nucleotides) under uncultured soil bacterium. RNAcentral's name for it is "bacterial SSU rRNA". It matches the Rfam family "Bacterial small subunit ribosomal RNA", at positions 26 to 388 of the family's 1533-position model. The record is from RNAcentral.